GCCUUGGGUUGGAUAGUGAAAUGGAAAGCUACUUCUCCAAUGCGAGGAACAACUGGACACCUCACCUGAUGGCCGGCCAAAUGCAUAAAGGGAAGGAGCGCAGGCCAAAUGCCUGUCCGAAUGCACAGCAGCACUCUCACGGCCGUGAGCUGGGCAAAGAGGCUGCACUGUUUGGUGAAAAUGCCCCGGGGUCACCAGGUGGGUUUCCAUAGCCAUGGAAGCAUUCAGGCCAAGGUCAGGGGCCAAGAUCCAAUCACUGUCUUCUGACUCUGUCCGAUUGGCCAGAUUUCUUCCAGGAAGGUUGACCACUACAGCCUUAUAAUGAGGGUGAGGGUGCCUUCAGACAUAAAUUAAACCUGCUUCGGAGCCGUGGCGGUGCAAUGGGUUCAACUGAUGGCCUGAAGGUUGGCAGUUUGAAUCCACAAGAUGGGGUGAGCUCCCCUCUGUCAGCUCCAGCUGACAGUGAUUUGGCCUAAUGGGGACCCAUGCCCCAUUUCAGAGAAGCCCUGGCCCACAAACAUCUAACUCAGUUUGCAUGGGCAAACUUCAGCCCUCCAGGUGUUUUGGACUUCAACUCCCACAACAGAAAAAAUGUCUGUUUUCCCCACCGGCUCUUCUCCUCCUCCUUCCCAUGAGUCUUCUCUCAACCUUCCAAGAUUCAUCUUCUCAUCUGACAAUGGCCUUCUGAUAAUAACGCUUAGUUUCUUUCUUCAAGCCACUGGUGUGUUUCCCUCUUAAAUCCAGAUCUCUCGCUGCUUAAUCUGCUGAACGCACACGCUAACAAAAGGAACAAGUGAGGGAAGAGGAAAGCCUGCCAAUGGAAGCCUUGUUUAUUUAUUUGUGCAUCGUGUGUAUAAAUGCCCACUCUGUGCAAUGUUGGGCCCUCCCCGUUGGCAUCCAGAACAGCAGCAACCCCACCCAACCAGGGAGUGAGGCUGAAGCCUAUUAAAACGAUGAUGGAUGGUUGCCAUCCCCACUGUCUGUCUGAACCGUCCACCGUCUGGAUGCUGCUACAGAAAGGCCCCUGCUGCAGGAGGACCCCAAGGAAAUGCUAUAAGGAGAUCUUGGGUUUGAUGAAAUGGGUUUCCUUCUUAUUAAAUGGCUUGAAGGCUUUUCUCCAUAGCACUUGGGGAAGAAAAGUAGAAGAAAAGCCCCCAAGCCAGUUAGUGAGAAGGAAAGGGAAAUGAUCUUGUGCGGAAGCAGCAGAACCCAGCAUGAUCCAUGCAAGCAUUGUCCUCUCAGGGUCCCAAAUCUGCUGCAAUGGAAGACAGAGGCUCUUGUGGGACCUGGAAGAACCAUAGAACCAUGAAAUCAUGGAGCUGGAAGAGACCUCGUGGGCCAUCCAGUCCAACCCCAUUCGGCCAAGAAGCAGGACAAUCGCAUUCAUCAAGGGACCACGAUGCCCCAUCCUUCUUCUCCCUUCCCUGCUCCAUGGCAAGAGCCCCAGAAGCUAUGAUGAUGACCAUCACUUGUCACCUCCCUCCCUCCCUCCUUCCCUUCGUCAUGCACUCUUUUCCCCAAAUCAAAACUGAGAAUGAAGGCAGCAUGCAAAUAUUAACAUAAGUUGAAUGAAAAGCACAAAAUUAUGCAGAUGCAAAGGUUCAGUGGCCUGAUCUUGCACAAUGGACCCUCUCCAAAACUGCCUAGAGUCCAAUUAUUGUAUAUGAGAAGUCAUAUGAGAAGUCAUGAGAAGAGUCAAUUUAUCUUCCAAGAGAAGAAAAAAAGAUUCUUUUUACUGUGAAUGUAACAGUCUUAUGGCUUUAUUUGUGUUUAUAUAACUACCUAGCUUUGGAUUCAUAUCGAUGCAUUGAACUAAAUAUAUGCUCAAUAACAUGCAAAACUUUUGUAUUACUGUAACCGUGGAUACUUGUCUUUGUAGUUCCAAGGAACCCAUUUUCCUUUGUAGAGAAAUCCUAGGCAGAGCAGCUCUCUAGGAAUGUCUGGGUCCAGCAAUGUGAUUGGGAUCUGACUGGCUUAAAAUGCAAUGAAAAUCACACAGAAUUAAAACCAUUUCAAACCACAAAGCCAGUGCGGUUUGAAGGGAAGGGACAGAUCUCAGGGAUCACCAGCUCAAAAAGGGGUGAAGAGAGAUGUCCAGAUCAUAAAGCUUACCCAUGUACUAAUUAAACAUUCUCUCCUAGAGAGAGAAAGUGAAGGCAUGAUGAUGAUGAUGAUGAUGAUGAUGAUGAUGAUGAUGAUGAUGAUGAUUAUUAUUAUUAUUAUUAUUAUUAUUAUUAUCUUUCCCUGAUAUUUUCACUCUGAGAAGUAUUUCCCUUCUUUGAGAUCUGGAGAUGGGAAGCAAAUGCCAAGAGCUCUGACAACUUUAACACUAGGUAUGGGCAAAGUUUGUGCCAGCUCUCCCUCUUUCUCCCUCUUUCUCUCUCUUUCUCUCUCCCUCCCUCAUUUCUUUCUUUCCUUCUCUCUCUCUCUCUCUCUCUCUCUCUCUCUCUCUCUCUCUCUCUCUCUCUCUCUCUCUCUCUCUCUCUCUCUUUCUCCUGGGCCUCUUCUAUCACAUGAAAGUGCCUCUGCCCUGUGCCAUAUUUUCCAGGAGACAAGGGCUUCCUUGUCAGAGGUUCUUUAUGGUGCAAAACAAGGAAGGGAGACAAGGGAACCUGAUUUAAACAGCGAGUGGCAUUCCACCUGCACAGAGCAAUCGUCAAUCAUGGCAGGAAGCGGAGCCCUUGGCCAAGCAGAGCCAAAGGGUGGCUGGGAUUGCAAACACCAUGAACUGGUCCCAGUUACUUUUUGCUGUGGAAAGAGGCACCAGAAUUGGGGGAGGGGGGGCAGAGGGGGACCCUGGGAAACAUCUGCCACCAGAGAAGGUUGCAAAGCAUCUGGAGACUAUAAGCCAAAAUGAGCUUCCGCUGGCACCUUUCGUGGGAUCAAAACUUUGCAAAACUACAACGCCCACGAUCCCAUACAGAAAAUGUUGUCAAGCCACAGUCAUUCAACAUUGUCCAAUCACUUUCACUAUGCGAUCAUGAGAGUUGGGGUUUUGCAAAGUUUGUAUCCUUCUCUGCCAACUGGUGCCUCUGCAAACUACAUCACCCAGGAUCCCAUGGCAUGGAGCCAGGGCAGUUCAACUGGUGUGAAGCUGCGUUCAUUCUACAAGGUAGAUGCGCCUCCAGUUUCAUCCCAGUCGGAAGGGAGCCUGGACAAGAACCAAGGGGGAAAGCACUGCCAAUCCUUUGCUCCCUGACUGUCAUCAGACCAGGUGGAGAAGGGAGAUGCAUUGAUAAGAGCCAGGAGCCCUGUUGACAAGUGCUACAUUCGCACUAAAAAAAGGAAGAACUUGCAUAUAUUCCCAAAAGGGGUUGUUUGUUUUAAUUAUGUUAAUUCUGCUCCGAAGCUUAAAUGCAUGCUCAGCAGCUGCACUAGCAACUUGUUGUGAUGCAGCUGGAAAACCCCUCCUCCUGCCAGGAGGCUCCUGACGAUUCCCUCCCUUCUUCUCAUCCUUGGGUUUGGGAGAAAAGGAAACAGAAGCGUGGCUCCAUUUGCCCCCUGCCCACCCUCUGACAGAAGAAUGGGGCUUAAUAGGCACACAAAGACAUGGAAGAAGGGAAGGGAAGGGUUUGGCUGGAAUCCUGUUCAGUAUCAUGUCAAGGUUUUCCUUUUCUUCAUCCAUGUGUUUCUCCUCCUUCUAUUUCAUAUCCCUCUCUACUUCUCCUUCCUUUUUCUUUCUACUUCUUACCUUCUUCUUCCUUCCUCCUUUCCCCUCUUCUUCCUCCUCCUCUUCCUCCUCCUAAUCUUCUCCUCUUUCCUCUUCAUUGUCUUCCUCCUCCUCCUCCUCUUUCACCUCCUCUCCUUCCUUCAAUUUAUUUAUUUAUUUUAUUUACAGCAUUUAUAUUCCGCCCUUCUCACCCUGAAGGGGACUCAUGGCAGAUCACAUUACACAUAUAGGCAAACAUUCAAUGCCUUUUAACAUAGAACAAAGACAAGACAAACAUAGGCUUCGAGCAGGCCUCGAAUUCAUGACCUCCUGGUCAGAGUGAUUCAUUGCAGUGAUUCAUUGCAGCUGCUCUCCAGCCUGCGCCACAGCCCGAGACUAACAUUCCUCUUCUUUCCUCUUCACUGUCUUCCUCCUCCUCUUCUCCUUCUUUCACCUCCUCUCCAUCCUCCUCUUUGUUAGUGUUUUUGUUGUUAUAGUGUGAAAUGUUCAAUCAAUUGUUGCUGUCGGAUUGUGUGUAUGUGUUCUGGCAAGCAUUCCAGCAGUGCAGGAGUUAAUUACAGCCAGCCCUGAUUGAUUGCCUGGAGGGCCUAUGGGUCAAGACUUCUGUUUCAGCUACAUGGACGGAACGUCAUAAACUGUGGAAUGCAAGGAGGUGCUUGCUUGCAUUGAUAAUGAACUUGUCAAGCUGAGAGGAUGCACCAUGUUUUGUCCUUGCCGAGGAAACAUGUGUCCAGAGAGUGAUGGUAUUUAGUGUUGUAAAUAACUUGUAAAUAAAGCCUUUAGAACUGCUGGAAUCAGCAGAUAAUUUAUGACUGAGCUGUUGUUUGUCGGUGCCACUUUCACCACUGCCUAAGUAGUCUGGCUGAUGAGAAGAAGGUGAGACCUGACUCAUCAAUGGGUCAGGGUGAUGAUUCCCUGACACUCUUUCCCCUUCAUUGUCCUCUUCCUCCUCCUCCUCCUCCUCCUCCUCUUCCACCUCCUCUUCUUCCUUCUUCAUUGUCUUCCUCCUGCUUCUUUUCUUCUUCCUCUUCCUCCUCUCCUUCCUCCUAACUUUCCUCUUCUUUGCCCUUCAUUGUCUUCUUCCUCCUUUUUCCCCUUCCUCCUCCUCUUCCUCUUCUUCCUCCCGCAUUAUCCCAAAACUGGUCUUCCUGCUUUUGUGGAGGGCUGACCCUCCUUGCUGGAGAUAACCCUCCUUUGGAUAAACAACCUUUGUGUCCUCCCAAGAAGUGUCCUUGAGGCCAAACAAGCAUAAUUCUAUCAUUUAGCUGCCUUUUCAAAUUAAAUUCAUCAUUCCCUAGGUUGCUUUGCCUCUAAAUGCUCUUUCAUCUAUGCCAUUUUUGCCAUUUUAUAACAGGCUUUUGUUUUCUUAAGAAGGAGGUGUGCUUUGCUCCAGGAUCUCUUCUGGGUGCUUUAGGGGCCGAGGACGGCUAUGGGAUGUCCCUUUGCAAAACCUGUCAUCCUCAACCUCAAGAUCCUGCCAUGAGGAGAAGAAGAAGAGGAGGAGAAACAUAAAGCCACCUUGGGUGCUGGGCACCAGGGUCUGUAGCCCAAUGUCCAACCCCAAAGGCAUCCGUGUGCAUCCAUGCUCAAGGGCACUGCAGGCAAACCUCUGCUUCCACAACCUAAAGCUGACCCAAAUGCCCAGCUGCUUAUUUAAGAGGAACCUGCUCAAAGGAAGCAGAGCCCCAGUUCCUUCAAAGACGUCAGUUGCGUGCCUUUCUCUGUGAAGUUCACUUGUGACCACAUCCUCAAUCCGUUCACAUCAGUGUUUUGGGAAGUUUCCUGAACUGUGUUACAGAGUUACAGAGACAGAGUUUGCUCCAUUGAGAAGGCAAUAAUAAUUCACCCUGUCAGCAUUUAUAUUCCGCCCUUCUCACCCCGAAGGGGACUCAGGGCGCAUCACACAUAAAGGCAAACAUUCAAUGCCAUGACAUAGAACAGACACAGAGACAAGACGCAGGCACCGGGCUGGCCUCGAACUCGAACCACCCGAGACUUACUUGCCUUUCGGAAAGCCUGCAAAACCUUGCUCUUCUGACAAGCUUUCAAUGGGUGAAAAACUCGGGGCUAUGUCUGUUUUUAUCGUUGCUUUUAUUGUUGAUUUUAUUGUUUUUAUUGUUAUUUUAAAGCCAAGUGUAUUGUUUUAAUCUAUUUUUGUAAACCGCUCUGAGCCAAACUGGGAGUAGCGGUAUAUAAGUGUAAUAAAUAAAUAAAUGAAGAAAUAAAAUGA
This is a long non-coding RNA of Anolis carolinensis (green anole), 5900 nucleotides long. RefSeq lists it as uncharacterized. The transcript has 2 exons. Lineage: Eukaryota; Metazoa; Chordata; Lepidosauria; Squamata; Anolidae. The record is from RefSeq and is a predicted model, not a curated record.